AUUGAACGCUGGCGGCAUGCCUUACACAUGCAAGUCGAACGGCAGCACGGGUGCUUGCACCUGGUCGAGUGGCGAACGGGUGAGUAAUACAUCGGAACAUGUCCUGUAGUGGGGGAUAGCCCGGCGAAAGCCGGAUUAAUACCGCAUACGAUCUACGGAUGAAAGCGGGGGACCUUCGGGCCUCGCGCUAUAGGGUUGGCCGAUAGCUGAUUAGCUAGUUGGUGGGGUAAAGGCCUACCAAGGCGACGAUCAGUAGCUGGUCUGAGAGGACGACCAGCCACACUGGGACUGAGACACGGCCCAGACUCCUACGGGAGGCAGCAGUGGGGAAUUUUGGACAAUGGGCGAAAGCCUGAUCCAGCAAUGCCGCGUGUGUGAAGAAGGCCUUCGGGUUGUAAAGCACUUUUGUCCGGAAAGAAAUCCUUGGCUCUAAUACAGUCGGGGGAUGACGGUACCGGAAGAAUAAGCACCGGCUAACUACGUG
This 484-nucleotide ribosomal RNA is filed under the name uncultured bacterium. Its description in RNAcentral is "partial 16S ribosomal RNA". It matches the Rfam family "Bacterial small subunit ribosomal RNA", at positions 30 to 507 of the family's 1533-position model. The record is from RNAcentral.